Molecule: non-coding RNA, 564 nt
Organism: Lepisosteus oculatus (spotted gar)
Lineage: Eukaryota; Metazoa; Chordata; Actinopteri; Semionotiformes; Lepisosteidae
Source: the annotation of a RefSeq genome assembly
AUGGCAACAGAACCUACAGCAACAAUGACCUUCAUCACCAUCUUCAUCUGGGCACUCAUCAUCUCUGCUCAGGAAUCUAGUGGACAGGUUACUGUGACUCAGACUCCAGCAGUGAAAUCUGUUCUCUCUGGACAGACAGUCACUGUGAGCUGUAAGACUAGUCCUGCAGUGUUUGGUAAUGAAUACCUAGCCUGGUACCAACAGAAAGCUGGUGAAGCUCCUAAACUCCUGAUCUAUGCAGCAACUAACCGUGAUACUGGGAUCCCAGAGCGUUUCAGUGGCAGUGGAUCUGGGACUGACUUCACUCUGACUAUCAAAGGAGUCCAGGCUGAAGAUGCAGCAGAUUAUUACUGUCAGAGUUUCCACUACCCUGGCAGUACUCGUGUGUUCACACAGUGUUACACAGCCAUACAAAAACCUCCCUCAGCAGGACUGCACAGUGACUGCACUGCUGCAGCUGGGACCUACUGCAGGUGCACUUACAGAUCAAGUUUAUUAUACUACUAUAAGAGAUCAUUCAACAUAGUCACAGUAUUCAAAGAAAUAUAAUUAUAUUAUUUCUCA